GAUGAACGCUGGCGGCGUGCCUAAUACAUGCAAGUCGAGCGAACAGACGAGGAGCUUGCUCCUCUGACGUUAGCGGCGGACGGGUGAGUAACACGUGGAUAACCUACCUAUAAGACUGGGAUAACUUCGGGAAACCGGAGCUAAUACCGGAUAAUAUAUUGAACCGCAUGGUUCAAUAGUGAAAGACGGUUUUGCUGUCACUUAUAGAUGGAUCCGCGCCGCAUUAGCUAGUUGGUAAGGUAACGGCUUACCAAGGCAACGAUGCGUAGCCGACCUGAGAGGGUGAUCGGCCACACUGGAACUGAGACCCGGUCCAGACUCCUACGGGAGGCAGCAGUAGGGAAUCUUCCGCAAUGGGCGAAAGCUUGACGGAGCAACGCCGCGUGAGUGAUGAAGGUCUUCGGAUCGUAAAACUCUGUUAUUAGGGAAGAACAAAUGUGUAAGUAACUAUGCACGUCUUGACGGUACCUAAUCAGAAAGCCACGGCUAACUACGUG
Molecule: ribosomal RNA, 497 nt
Filed under: uncultured bacterium
Lineage: Bacteria
Description: partial 16S ribosomal RNA
Rfam family: Bacterial small subunit ribosomal RNA
Source: RNAcentral